Non-coding RNA from Manis javanica (Malayan pangolin), 880 nucleotides. The record is from RefSeq and is a predicted model, not a curated record. Lineage: Eukaryota; Metazoa; Chordata; Mammalia; Pholidota; Manidae.
UGACUUUACCUCAAGGUGGCUUUCAUCGGCUGUAAAGUGAUAUUUACCUCAUUGACUCCAGAUUGACUGAAAUGGUGUGUGUAAUACAACUAGGACAGUGCCUGACACGCAGGAAGAGCAUGAUACAUAGCAUUAGCUGUUGUAAUUUUUAAACUGCAGUUUGAUGAAACCAUUUCCAUUUUCUCAGAACCAGCCAGUCUUCACCUCCCCAUUGCCGAGCCUCUGUGAAGAGGAGUCCCUUCAAUAUCUCCUGACACCACACUACCUACUUCUCAAUUUUUCUGCUGGAGUUCCCCAGUGAAGAGGAAAGCAAGCAGGCUCUAGGAUGAUACUUCUGACAGAAGAGUCAGCGCUGAGAUGACUGGAACCAAUGCCAGGAUCCUCCAUCCAUGUGCAAGCACUUUCCUUAUCCUUGAGAGGGCAGACCGUGUCUUUGUUAUGCCUGUACGCUGAAAGACCUGGCAACACAGCCUGCACGUAGUGAGAACUUAUUGUUCACUGGAUGCACAAGGCCACUGAAGGUGUGUGCUGGCUGGGAUACCACCUCCCCCUCCUGCUCUGCCCUCUCCGCCUCCCAAGAGCUCCCGUCCUGCUGUCACAUACUGGUUAACCCCAUGCUGCUGCUUUCACCCUCCCCUUGACAGGCUUUGCCUUGCCCGUCAUUUAUGCUGUGGUGGAGAGCUAAGUCCCUAUGUCUCCUUUCCAGGGACUUCUGCAGUCAACCCUCUUAAGAAAUGAAAGCAGCCGUCUCCUCUGCAAGUGCCACUGCAGUAAAUCCAGGGAGGCUGGGACCACACAGAAGCCCUUCACCUAAACAAUGGCCUAGCACACAGCAAGAGAAAGCCAUGCUGGAGUAGGACAGCUUGUAAUUCCAAUGGGC